RNAcentral lists this long non-coding RNA (256 nucleotides) under Homo sapiens (human). RNAcentral's name for it is "HSALNT0267172". Lineage: Eukaryota; Metazoa; Chordata; Mammalia; Primates; Hominidae. The record is from RNAcentral.
ACACUUAUCUGGUGACAUUCUGGACUCAGCACAAUAGAUGUGCCCUCACAUGCAAGGAACAGCAUUCCAGUCUUAAUCCUUACAGACUUUCGGAGGAACUCCCUCACAUCACCCACAGUAGAAAUAACAUGAGAAAGCACACAGUCAUCUCUUGCAUCCAUGUCCUAUCCAUGCUUUUGCAUUGCUGACAAGUGACGGGUGGGCUCUGACAUCAGGAGAUGCAAAUGGCUGAUGAUUCAGACGGUUGUUUGGUAAG